AGAGGGCAUUGGGAGGAAAUGGUGCCGAGCUUCUUUGGAAAAUCAAUUCGUCCCACCCUUAAUAAGGCAUUUCGCUCCCCCUCUUCGGGAGUGGCUGGGCAGGUGUGCUUCCAGGAAUGGGGAUCCCGAGGGAGGAGGUGCCGCCCCGUCCUGCGUGCGCACCCUAAGAACCUUUCUGCUCUCGCAUCGUCCCACUUCCUUUUCUCUCAGCUCCGGGCUCUUCCCGCCUCGCUCUCUGCUCGGGCCUCUUCCUUAAUGAGGCUGGAAGUGGAACUUUCCCUCACUCCCUCUCCCUUAUUUGGUGAUUUUUUUUUUUUUUUUUUACCCCAGUGACCUGGCUGCACUUUGCCCCCGCUCCCUGCCUGCCAAUCUUUUCUGGAUAGGGCCCCUUUCCAUUCUUGAGGCUCCCCCUCCUCGCUAACCCCGGGAGGCCCAGCCUCCCCCCGCCCCCCCAACCAGAUCUCCAGCAACACAGCAGCCCCCCGCGGAGCAAGGAAGAGGCCUCCUCCGAGUGAAUGGCUGGUCUUGCUUCUCUCCAUGGUCCUCCUGUCUAGCCAAUAUGCCCUUCAGACCAGCACUCGAAGGGAUGGGGUGACAGUUUUCAGGGUCUCUAACUUGCACCCCCCUGGACCUCAUGUCACUGCCAGGAGCUGGCUGCCCUGAUCUUCUUCGCACACCCCACCAUUGAGAUAGAUCAAAGGAUGGUUGUAGUAUUCUCCACAGGAGACAACCUUAUGAACUGAAGGGAUCGUCCAGCCCUGAACUUGUGGCAGACUGGCAGGAAAAUGGCAACAAUAAUGUCCAACUCAUCCCACCAAGAAAAUUAUGUUCAUUUCUUUGUCCCUUGAUUCUGAAUCUUGCUUGCUUGUGCCAACCAGACAUUAGUGAACAUUAGAACAAUCA
Molecule: long non-coding RNA, 903 nt
Organism: Meriones unguiculatus (Mongolian gerbil)
Lineage: Eukaryota; Metazoa; Chordata; Mammalia; Rodentia; Muridae
Exons: 2
Source: RefSeq, a predicted model, not a curated record